This 457-nucleotide ribosomal RNA is filed under the name uncultured Curtobacterium sp. RNAcentral describes it as "bacterial SSU rRNA". It matches the Rfam family "Bacterial small subunit ribosomal RNA", at positions 924 to 1382 of the family's 1533-position model. The record is from RNAcentral. Lineage: Bacteria; Bacillati; Actinomycetota; Actinomycetes; Micrococcales; Microbacteriaceae.
CACAAGCGGCGGAGCAUGCGGAUUAAUUCGAUGCAACGCGAAGAACCUUACCAAGGCUUGACAUACACCGGUAACGCCCAGAGAUGGGUGCCCCUUUGUGGUCGGUGUACAGGUGGUGCAUGGUUGUCGUCAGCUCGUGUCGCGAGAUGUUGGGUUAAGUCCCGCAACGAGCGCAACCCUCGUCCUAUGUUGCCAGCGGGUCAUGCCGGGGACUCAUGGGAGACUGCCGGGGUCAACUCGGAGGAAGGUGGGGAUGACGUCAAAUCAUCAUGCCCCUUAUGUCUUGGGCUUCACGCAUGCUACAAUGGCCGGUACAAAGGGCUGCGAUACCGCGAGGUGGAGCGAAUCCCAGAAAGCCGGUCUCAGUUCGGAUUGGGGUCUGCAACUCGACCCCAUGAAGUCGGAAUCGCUAGUAAUCGCGGAUCAGCACGCCGCGGUGAAUACGUUCCCGGGCCUU